RNAcentral lists this ribosomal RNA (443 nucleotides) under uncultured bacterium. RNAcentral describes it as "partial 16S ribosomal RNA". It matches the Rfam family "Bacterial small subunit ribosomal RNA", at positions 338 to 795 of the family's 1533-position model. The record is from RNAcentral.
CCUACGGGUGGCAGCAGUGGGGAAUAUUGGGCAAUGGAGGCAACUCUUACCCAGCAAUGCCGCGUGAAUGAAGAAGGUCUUCGGAUUGUAAAGUUCUUUAAUUGGGGACGAAAAACAUGACGGUACCCAAGGAAUAAGCCACGGCUAACUACGUGCCAGCAGCCGCGGUAAUACGUAGGUGGCAAGCGUUAUCCGGAUUUACUGGGUGUAAUGGGCGUGUAGGCGGGACUGCAAGUCAGAUGUGAAAACCACGGGCUCAACCUGUGGCCUGCAUUUGAAACUGUAGUUCUUGAGUACUGGAGAGGCAGACGGAAUUCCUAGUGUAGCGGUGAAAUGCGUAGAUAUUAGGAGGAACACCAGUGGCGAAGGCGAUCUGCUGGACAGCAACUGACGCUGAGGCGCGAAAGCGUGGGGAGCAAACAGGAUUAGAUACCCUUGUAGUC